UACACUCCUGCGGGAGGCAGCAGUGGGGAAUUUUGGACAAUGGGCGAAAGCCUGAUCCAGCAAUGCCGCGUGAGUGAAGAAGGCCUUCGGGUUGUAAAGCUCUUUUGUCAGGGAAGAAACGGUGAAAGCUAACAUCUUUUGCUAAUGACGGUACCUGAAGAAUAAGCACCGGCUAACUACGUGCCAGCAGCCGCGGUAAUACGUAGGGUGCAAGCGUUAAUCGGAAUUACUGGGCGUAAAGCGUGCGCAGGCGGUUUUGUAAGUCUGAUGUGAAAUCCCCGGGCUCAACCUGGGAAUUGCAUUGGAGACUGCAAGGCUAGAAUCUGGCAGAGGGGGGUAGAAUUCCACGUGUAGCAGUGAAAUGCGUAGAUAUGUGGAGGAACACCGAUGGCGAAGGCAGCCCCCUGGGUCAAGAUUGACGCUCAUGCACGAAAGCGUGGGGAGCAAACAGGAUUAGAAACCCCAGUAGUCCCAUG
This 476-nucleotide ribosomal RNA is filed under the name uncultured organism. RNAcentral's name for it is "partial 16S ribosomal RNA". It matches the Rfam family "Bacterial small subunit ribosomal RNA", at positions 332 to 799 of the family's 1533-position model. The record is from RNAcentral.